UACGAAGGGAGCUAGCGUUGUUCGGAAUUACUGGGCGUAAAGGGCGCGUAGGCGGGGUUCCAAGUCGGGGGUGAAAUUCCAGGGCUCAACCCUGGGACGGCCUUCGAUACUGGGAGCCUGGAGAUCGGGAGAGGUGAGUGGAAUUCCGAGUGUAGAGGUGAAAUUCGUAGAUAUUCGGAGGAACACCAGAAGCGAAGGCGGCUCACUGGCCCGAGACUGACGCUGAGGCGCGAAAGCGUGGGGAGCAAACAGG
This 253-nucleotide ribosomal RNA is filed under the name uncultured bacterium. Its description in RNAcentral is "partial 16S ribosomal RNA". It matches the Rfam family "Bacterial small subunit ribosomal RNA", at positions 524 to 776 of the family's 1533-position model. The record is from RNAcentral.